GUGGGGAAUAUUGGGCAAUGGGCGAAAGCCUGACCCAGCAACGCCGCGUGAAGGAAGAAGGUUUUCGGAUCGUAAACUUCUAUCCUUGGUGAAGAUAAUGACGGUAGCCAAGAAGGAAGCCCCGGCUAACUACGUGCCAGCAGCCGCGGUAAUACGUAGUGGGCAAGCGUUGUCCGGAAUGAUGGGGCGUAAAGGGCGCGUAGGCGGCCCGGUAAGUCUGAAGUGAAAGUACUGCUUUUAAGGUGGGAAUUGCUUUGGAUACUGUCGGGCUUGGGUGCAGGAGAGGUAAGCGGAAUUCCCGGUGUAGCGGUGAAAUGCGUAGAGAUCGGGAGGAACACCAGUGGCGAAGGCGGCUUACUGGACUGUAACUGACGCUGAGGCGCGAAAGUGUGGGGAGCAAACAGGAUUAGAAACCCGGGUAGUCC
Molecule: ribosomal RNA, 425 nt
Filed under: uncultured bacterium
Lineage: Bacteria
Description: partial 16S ribosomal RNA
Rfam family: Bacterial small subunit ribosomal RNA
Source: RNAcentral